CUGGUAACUAGGUAACUGAGGUAACUGUGGUAACCAAGUUAUAUAUAGGUAACAGUGGCUGGUAACUAGGUAACUGAGGUAACUGUGGUAACCAAGUUAUAUAUAGGUAACAGUGGCUGGUAACUAGGUAACUGAGGUAACUGUGGUAACCAAGUUAUAUAUAGGUAACAGUGGCUGGUAACUAGGUAACUGAGAU
Molecule: long non-coding RNA, 196 nt
Organism: Amphimedon queenslandica
Lineage: Eukaryota; Metazoa; Porifera; Demospongiae; Haplosclerida; Niphatidae
Exons: 4
Source: RefSeq, a predicted model, not a curated record